AUAUAGCCAAGCGGUAAGGCAGCGGAUUUUGAUUCCGUGAUGCGCAGGUUCGAAUCCUGCUAUCCCAGCCA
RNAcentral lists this transfer RNA (71 nucleotides) under Texcoconibacillus texcoconensis. RNAcentral describes it as "tRNA-Gln". It matches the Rfam family "tRNA". Rfam says of the family: Transfer RNA (tRNA) molecules are approximately 80 nucleotides in length. Their secondary structure includes four short double-helical elements and three loops (D, anti-codon, and T loops). Further hydrogen bonds mediate the characteristic L-shaped molecular structure. tRNAs have two regions of fundamental functional importance: the anti-codon, which is responsible for specific mRNA codon recognition, and the 3' end, to which the tRNAs corresponding amino acid is attached (by aminoacyl-tRNA synthetases). tRNAs cope with the degeneracy of the genetic code in two manners: having more than one tRNA (with a specific anti-codon) for a particular amino acid; and 'wobble' base-pairing, i.e. permitting non-standard base-pairing at the 3rd anti-codon position. Lineage: Bacteria; Bacillati; Bacillota; Bacilli; Caryophanales; Bacillaceae. The record is from RNAcentral.